GACGAACGCUGGCGGCGUGCUUAACACAUGCAAGUCGAACGGAAAGGCCCUGCUUUUGUGGGGUGCUCGAGUGGCGAACGGGUGAGUAACACGUGAGUAACCUGCCCUUGACUUUGGGAUAACUUCAGGAAACUGGGGCUAAUACCGGAUAGGAGCUCCUGCUGCAUGGUGGGGGUUGGAAAGUUUCGGCGGUUGGGGAUGGACUCGCGGCUUAUCAGCUUGUUGGUGGGGUAGUGGCUUACCAAGGCUUUGACGGGUAGCCGGCCUGAGAGGGUGACCGGCGACAUUGGUACUGAGAGACGGCGCAGACUCCUACGGGAGGCAGCAGUGGGGAAUAUUGCACAAUGGGCGGAAGCCUGAUGCAGCAACGCCGCGUGCGGGAUGACGGCCUUCGGGUUGUAAACCGCUUUCGCCUGUGACGAAGCGUGAGUGACGGUAAUGGGUAAAGAAGCACCGGCUAACUACGUG
This 468-nucleotide ribosomal RNA is filed under the name uncultured bacterium. RNAcentral describes it as "partial 16S ribosomal RNA". It matches the Rfam family "Bacterial small subunit ribosomal RNA", at positions 28 to 507 of the family's 1533-position model. The record is from RNAcentral.